AAGACCUCAAAUCAGGUGGGACUACCCGCUGAACUUAAGCAUAUCAAUAAGCGGAGGAAAAGAAACUAACAAGGAUUCCCCCAGUAACGGCGAGUGAAGAGGGAAAAGCCCAAAUUUGUAAUCUGGCUCUUUUAGAGUCCGAGUUGUAAUUUUGAGAACUGUUUUCUGUGCUGGACCAUGUUUAAGUCUGUUGAAAAACAGCAUCAUUGAGGGUGAUAAUCCCGUUCAUGAUAUGGACUACCAGUGCUAUAUGAUACAGUCUCUAAGAGUCGAGUUGUUUGGGAAUGCAGCUCAAAGUGGGUGGUAAAUUCCAUCUAAGGCUAAAUAUAGGUGAGAGACCGAUAGCAAACAAGUACCGUGAGGGAAAGAUGAAAAGAACUUUGGAAAGAGAGUUAACAGUACGUGAAAUUGCUGAAAGGGGAAACAAUUGAAGUUAGCCUUGUUAUUUCCAGUUCAACCCUUUUAGGGUGUAUUCUGGUAAUUAACGACCAACAUCAGUCUUUGAGUGCUGGAUAAGGGUUUUGGAAAAUGUAGCAGUCUAGGCUGUGUUAUAGUCCAUUACUUUGAUACAGUGCUUAGGAUUGAGGAUCGCAGUAAGCCAA
This 602-nucleotide ribosomal RNA is filed under the name Neophysopella tropicalis. Its description in RNAcentral is "partial 28S ribosomal RNA". It matches the Rfam family "Eukaryotic large subunit ribosomal RNA", at positions 1 to 609 of the family's 3401-position model. Lineage: Eukaryota; Fungi; Basidiomycota; Pucciniomycetes; Pucciniales; Crossopsoraceae. The record is from RNAcentral.